This 478-nucleotide ribosomal RNA is filed under the name uncultured bacterium. RNAcentral describes it as "partial 16S ribosomal RNA". It matches the Rfam family "Bacterial small subunit ribosomal RNA", at positions 28 to 523 of the family's 1533-position model. The record is from RNAcentral.
GACGAACGCUGGCGGCGUGCUUAACACAUGCAAGUCGAACGGUAAGGCCCUUCGGGGUACACGAGUGGCGAACGGGUGAGCAACACGUGGGUGAUCUGCCCUGCACUUCGGGAUAAGCCUGGGAAACUGGGUCUAAUACCGGAUAGGACCACUGCCUGCAUGGGUGGUGGUGGACAGCUUUUGCGGUGUGGGAUGGGCCCGCGGCCUGUCAGCUUGUUGGUGGGGUGAUGGCCUACCAAGGCGACGACGGGUAGCCGGCGGGAGAGGGGGGCCGGCCAGACUGGGACUGGAAGACGGCCCAGACUCCUACGGGCGGCAGCAGGCGGGAAUAUUGCACAAUGGGGGCAAGCCUGAUGCAGCGACGCCGCGUGAGGGAUGCCGGCCCUCGGGUUGUAAACCUCUUUCCGCACCGACGAAGCGCAAGUGACGGUAGGUGCAGAAGAAGGACCGGCCAACUACGUGCCAGCCGCCGCCGUAA